RNAcentral lists this ribosomal RNA (482 nucleotides) under uncultured bacterium. RNAcentral's name for it is "partial 16S ribosomal RNA". It matches the Rfam family "Bacterial small subunit ribosomal RNA", at positions 30 to 507 of the family's 1533-position model. The record is from RNAcentral.
AUUGAACGCUGGCGGCAUGCCUUACACAUGCAAGUCGAACGGUAACAGGUCUUCGGAUGCUGACGAGUGGCGAACGGGUGAGUAAUACAUCGGAACGUGCCCGAUCGUGGGGGAUAACGAGGCGAAAGCUUUGCUAAUACCGCAUACGAUCUACGGAUGAAAGCGGGGGAUCUUCGGACCUCGCGCGGACGGAGCGGCCGAUGGCAGAUUAGGUAGUUGGUGGGAUAAAAGCUUACCAAGCCGACGAUCUGUAGCUGGUCUGAGAGGAUGAUCAGCCACACUGGGACUGAGACACGGCCCAGACUCCUAAGGGAGGCAGCAGUGGGGAAUUUUGGACAAUGGGCGAAAGCCUGAUCCAGCCAUGCCGCGUGCAGGAUGAAGGCCUUUGGGUUGUAAACUGCUUUUGUACGGAACGAAAAGCCUCUUUCUAAUAAAGAGGGGUCAUGACGGUACCGUAAGAAUAAGCACCGGCUAAAUACGUG